Molecule: ribosomal RNA, 433 nt
Filed under: uncultured bacterium
Lineage: Bacteria
Description: partial 16S ribosomal RNA
Rfam family: Bacterial small subunit ribosomal RNA
Source: RNAcentral
AACGAACGCUGGCGGCAUGCCUAACACAUGCAAGUCGGACGAGACCUUCGGGUCUAGUGGCGCACGGGUGCGUAACGCGUGGGAACCUGCCCUUAGGUUCGGAAUAACUCCCCGAAAGGGGUGCUAAUACCGGAUAAUGCCUUCGGACCAAAGAUUUAUCGCCUUUGGAUGGGCCCGCGUUGGAUUAGCUAGUUGGUAGGGUAAAAGCCUACCAAGGCGACGAUCCAUAGCUGGUCUGAGAGGAUGAUCAGCCACACUGGGACUGAGACACGGCCCAGACUCCUACGGGAGGCAGCAGUGGGGAAUAUUGGACAAUGGGCGAAAGCCUGAUCCAGCAAUGCCGCGUGAGUGAUGAAGGCCUUAGGGUUGUAAAGCUCUUUUACCCGGGAUGAUAAUGACAGUACCGGGAGAAUAAGCUCCGGCUAACUCCGUG